AUAAAAGCAAUGAAAAAGAGGAGUAGAAAUUUUUGAGCAUUAAAAGGAAACUAACUCAGGAGAGUUUAGGAGUACGGUUCUUUUAGCAAGGAAACUCACUCAGACGAGCUGAGGAGUACAGUUCUUUAGCUAAAUCAUAGAUUUAGAAAGAACUAGCAAGAACUAGGAAGAGAGAGGGAGGCGCUGAAAACCCUUAUGCAAGAAAUUUUGAAGGUAGCUUUUGAGCUUCUUUAGUGAAAUAAUAGUAGCUAAAGACGGUUUGUCUGAAUCGUUAUUUAAAUUAAGAGUCCAUUAAUGCAGUAAUUCUGUAUAUGUGGAAAUAAAGGUGGUACCGCGAGCUUUCGUCCUUUUG
This 352-nucleotide non-coding RNA is filed under the name Clostridium beijerinckii. RNAcentral describes it as "T-box sequence". The stretch from base 134 to 352 matches the Rfam family "T-box leader". From Rfam's summary of the family: Uncharged tRNA acts as the effector for transcription antitermination of genes in the T-box leader family. T-boxes are found upstream of many aminoacyl-tRNA synthetase genes and some amino acid biosynthetic genes usually in Gram-positive bacteria. Lineage: Bacteria; Bacillati; Bacillota; Clostridia; Eubacteriales; Clostridiaceae. The record is from RNAcentral.